Trichonephila clavata is the source of this 90-nucleotide non-coding RNA. The record is from the annotation of a GenBank genome assembly. NCBI's taxonomy places the organism in Eukaryota, Metazoa, Arthropoda, Arachnida, Araneae, Nephilidae.
AUGCUGAAACCCCCGUUUCUCAUCCGUUCUUUGAAGUUAAGCAUCAUCGAGAUUAGUCAGUACUUGGGAGGGUGACCACCUGAGAGUACA